This 73-nucleotide transfer RNA is filed under the name Streptomyces albospinus. RNAcentral describes it as "tRNA-Cys". It matches the Rfam family "tRNA". Rfam says of the family: Transfer RNA (tRNA) molecules are approximately 80 nucleotides in length. Their secondary structure includes four short double-helical elements and three loops (D, anti-codon, and T loops). Further hydrogen bonds mediate the characteristic L-shaped molecular structure. tRNAs have two regions of fundamental functional importance: the anti-codon, which is responsible for specific mRNA codon recognition, and the 3' end, to which the tRNAs corresponding amino acid is attached (by aminoacyl-tRNA synthetases). tRNAs cope with the degeneracy of the genetic code in two manners: having more than one tRNA (with a specific anti-codon) for a particular amino acid; and 'wobble' base-pairing, i.e. permitting non-standard base-pairing at the 3rd anti-codon position. The record is from RNAcentral. Lineage: Bacteria; Bacillati; Actinomycetota; Actinomycetes; Kitasatosporales; Streptomycetaceae.
GGGGUGGAAUUGCAUAAGGUAUGCAUUUGGAUUGCAAAUCUAACGAAGUGGGUUCGAUUCCCACUCUGCCUUA